This 228-nucleotide ribosomal RNA is filed under the name uncultured bacterium. RNAcentral describes it as "partial 16S ribosomal RNA". It matches the Rfam family "Bacterial small subunit ribosomal RNA", at positions 524 to 751 of the family's 1533-position model. The record is from RNAcentral.
GACAGAGGGUGCAAACGUUGCUCGGAAUCACUGGGCGUAAAGGGCGUGUAGGCGGGAAGGAAAGUCGGGCGUGAAAUCCCUGGGCUCAACCCAGGAACUGCACUCGAAACUUCUUUUCUUGAGUGCCGGAGAGGAAAGCGGAAUUCCUGGUGUAGAGGUGAAAUUCGUAGAUAUCAGGAGGAACACCAGUGGCGAAGGCGGCUUUCUGGACGGUAACUGACGCUGAGA